GAUUUAGAGAAACAACAAAGGAUAGUGCUGUGCCCUGGGAGCUGUUACCUCCCCUUGCCCGGAGGUGAGGGGAGGGAGAAGAUACCCCCAGGUAGAGAGGACAGUGGAAUGAUAAGGACCGCCCACGGGAGCAGUGCCAUUCGCUAGAUGGACGCAGCCAACCAGGAGCAGCUCAGCAGAAAGGGAACUGGAAGAAUAAAUAUUCCGAGCUCACCCUCCAUCCCUCUGCCUGACACCGUGGGUACCUCCCCCUGGCCAACCCCAGCUGGAAGCCAGGGUGGAGGGGGGCCGGUGAGGCAGUCCUUGCAGGCCAGCCUCGCAGGGCUCAGCGCUGAACGGGGAAGGGCGGAGGGCCAACAGCAAGCACCCGGCAUGUCCCUCUACCAUGGCGUAUUCCAGAGGACCACACUCCCGGGGAAGGGUUGGCAAGCCCAGGCCUCCACGUGCCCUCCCUCUCCCCCUCCACCCCACGUGCAAAUGAACUCCACAACUAAAGCUCUUGCAGGUACAGAGAAUUUUCUCCUGCUCAUCCCUUGUCUGAUCAAUCCAGAAUAAUUGCUGGGCGGACAGAAGGCGACUAACUUGCAUGAGGUUCUUCCUAAUCGUUAAUUCAGAUUACCCUCUUCUCCACACCCUACUGCACUGUCUGGAGUUCUAGCCAUUUGUCGAGUGUGUGCGCUUGUGUGUGCGUGUCCUUGGUCCACAGUCUUUGGGUUAGAGCCACAGACGCCUCACUAACGGGUCCCUGCAGAGCCGAGAGCUCUGAGCACGUGGCCACUGAGCCCCCUGGGAAGGGAGGAGGUUCUCUUUCCCACACACGUCUCCUCGUAGCGGUGAGCACAGCUCAGUGCUGAGUGCAGCCAGAGGCUUGCUUUCCCUUCUCGCCCUAAGAUGUAAAAACAAGACCUUGGUCUGUCGGACCGGGACCGGCAGUGGCUGGGCUUCCCACUCUGGAGUCUGGAGAAGGAAGGUUGUAUUACGAGGGAAGCUGCUGGUUGGAUGAGCAGAGAACUCAGUGAACGGGAAAGUGAAGAGAUGUUUCUCAGGACCUAAACCAGAAAGUCUCCACUCUGACGGCAGAGUCGAGAAUGUUCCUCUUAGAGGCCCCUGCUGCUUUUCAAAUCCCGGAGAAGGCACCGUGACGUCAUGAAAACCACCAAUUGAAUGAGUUUCUUAGGUGCCUGUCUUUUAGGGCGCGGGGCUUGCAACCAGCCCCCAGGUCACUGCCCCACCCUGCCAGAGGCCCUGCAAGCUUGGCCAGGGACAGUCACCCCAGUUUGUUCUUCUGGGCCCUCCUUGCCUCAUAGGGGUUUCUCACAGACUGUGCUUCAUCGGUUGUGAGAUCUUUUCUCCGAGUAACUAAGGGAAGGAUUUUCGUUCCCACCGUCCACAUCAAUAGAUAUCCCCCACACGGACCACAAGGUGAGGAGACCCCCGCUGCACCAGCCUCUUUAUCGAAGAAUAACCUUGGUGCUUCUUGCUGGAAGAUGCUGCCCGUGAGGAACCGGAGACUAAGUAUGAACAGGUUUUUCCCUAUUGACAGAACUGUCCAUGCACGUUUGUUAGUUCAGCACUUAAGAUGAUCCAGGGUCUAAAAUUCCACCCUUUUAAAACAUUUUUGUUUUCAAAUAUUUAUUUCAGCCUUACUGAGAAGAAUCAAGAAAGAGCAUUCCCAUUUGGUUGUUUACAGAGCAGAGUUUCUCAAAGUUGGCACUAUUGACAUCCUGGGCCGGAUCAUUCUUUGUUGUGGGGGGCUGUUGUAUGUGUGUGUGUGGGGUGCUGUAUUGUAGGAAGUUUAGCAGCAUCCCUGCCUCCACUCACUAGAUGCCAGUAGCACCCCACCCCUUGGCCCGUCAUGACAACUAAAAAUGUCUCCAGGCGUUGCCAAAUGUCUCCUGGGGGGCAAAAUCACCCCCAAUUGAGGACUACUGCUGUAGAACAAUUUUAUUCAAACAACAAACAUGGAUGGAACAUGUGUGUGAUAACUCCAUAUUUAAACAUCUUACCCGAACCAGGAGUUAGAGGGCUAAAACCAUGACUAAGACAUCAUCCUGGUUCUCUAGGAGCUUGCAGUGUGGAACUAGAGAUGUCCCACAAGUGACUGGACAGAGGAUAGAAGUUCCCAGCCUCCAGAGUGGAGCAUCCAUCAGCAUAGGCCCUUACAUCACAGCCCGGAUCCAUCUGGAAUGCUCUCCAGCACACCUCCACCUGCAUGUGUUCUUACCUUCCUUCAAAGGCCAGCUCAACUGCCACCAUCUCCGAGAAGUCCACCUAGAUCCUGUGCAUGCUUCAAGUCAUUUUGGAGGGUGCCCAAAUGUUGCCUGAUUUGUCUCCUAUUAGAGUUAGCUGUGAGGUAUCUGCCUCCCGACCUAGAAUAAGAGUUCCUCGGGGGCAGGAACUUCAUCUCCUUCCCCUCUGUGUCCCUCCCUUGCUCCUAACAGGGGACUUCGCAGGCUGUAUAAGUUUAUUGAAUUGAAUGAAAGUGGAUAAUUCAAAAUGGGUUAUUUGAAAUGCCUGAGCUCAGCUAUACUCCUCACAGAGAAGCUAAAUGUAUCUUGCUCACAUUGUGAAUGUCCACACCGUAUUCUGGACUUUGGACUGGAUCUGUCCUGCAAACUUAGUCUCAGCUCAGAGAAGUUGGAAGCUUAUUAAAAUAGUUCAGCAAGAUGUCCCUGAGCCUCCCAUGCUCGGUGCUCCAUCCCUGAAGUAUUCUUGGUCAAAUCAGGCUCUUAUCGGUCAAGGACAGUUACUUUCGUGCCUUCCCAUCCUCGCCCUGCACACACACACACCAAAGACAUGGGCAAGUUUAAAUCUUUUCUUAUAAGGAAAGCUUCGGAGAAGAUCCUCUGUGGCAGGAGAUAUUAGUGGCUUGAGGACAAUUCCUGUCUAACUGAACGGGAGUGAUUAAAGCACUUUUUGGUGUUCAGCAGAUUCAUGGUGCCACAAAACAUUGUCUGGGCAGACAGCGAGACCCAUUGGGCCUCUGCGGCUAGGACUGGCUUCUGUUGCAAUGAAACAGAGCUUCCGGCCGGACUGUAAUUUGGGAUGCACAAGGAGGCAUCUGAAUAUUAGAACAACUUUCUUCUCUUCACAUUUGUCUUGAGGGCUCUCCAAUCCUGAGACCUACGAUUCUUCCCUCCUUUGCUUCCUGGGAGCCUAGCCCAACUUUUGGGCUGGGGGUUCCAAAGUGAUUACGUGGCAGCCCUAGGUUGCUCAUGGUCCAGUAGAGGCAAGCCACCAAGCACACAGUAAUCUGAGCACCCAGGGGUGGCAAGGGAGGGAGCUCUUCCGCCUCUUGUCUCCACCAGUCCUCCACCUUUCUCUUUUUCUGGGCCUUUCUUUGAUAUGGACAAGCGACAUUUUCUCCAUCGUAGUGAAGCCAUGACUUGAAGGCCCGGUUGCAAUAUGACGUUGCCCCAAAGACUCUUCUUACAGUGUGGUCUUCCCCUUAUCUGCGGGGGACACGUUCCAAGACCCCCAGUGGAU
RNAcentral lists this long non-coding RNA (3486 nucleotides) under Equus asinus (donkey). RNAcentral describes it as "lncRNA (ENSEASG00005029544.1)". Lineage: Eukaryota; Metazoa; Chordata; Mammalia; Perissodactyla; Equidae. The record is from RNAcentral.